This 1319-nucleotide ribosomal RNA is filed under the name metagenome. Its description in RNAcentral is "bacterial SSU rRNA". It matches the Rfam family "Bacterial small subunit ribosomal RNA", at positions 202 to 1498 of the family's 1533-position model. The record is from RNAcentral.
GGUGGGGAUCUUCGGACCUGCCGCUUGAGGAUGAGCCCGCGUACUAUCAGCUAGUUGGUGAGGUAACGGCUCACCAAGGCAAAGACGGUUAGCUGGUCUGAGAGGAUGGUCAGCCACACUGGGACUGAGACACUGCCCAGUCUCCUACGGGAGGCUGCAGUCGAGAAUCAUUCGCAAUGCGCGAAAGCGUGACGAUGCGACGCCGCGUGCAGGAUGACGGCCUUCGGGUUGUAAACUGCUGUCGGGAGGGAGUAAUGUACCGAGUGUUAAUAGCAUUUGGUAGUGAUAGUACCUUCAAAGGAAGCCACGGCUAACUCUGUGCCAGCAGCCGCGGUAAUACAGAGGUGGCGAGCGUUGUUCGGAUUUACUGGGCGUAAAGGGUGCGUAGGCGGCUAAGUAUGUCGGGUGUGAAAUCCCACGUUUCAUGCGUGGAAGUGCAUUCGAAACUGCUAAGCUAGAGUACGGGAGAGGAGAGCGGAAUUCAUGGUGUAGCGGUGAAAUGCGUAGAUAUCAUGAAGAACACCGGUGGCGAAGGCGGCUCUCUGGAACGAUACUGACGCUGAGGCACGAAAGCUGGGGUAGCGAAAAGGAUUAGAUACCCUUGUAGUCCCAGCCGUAAACGGUGUGCACUUGGUGUAGGUUGGUUCACCCCGACCUGUGCCGGAGCUAACGUGUUAAGUGCACCGCCUGGGGAGUACGGUCGCAAGGCUAAAACUCAAAGGAAUUGACGGGGGCCCGCACAAGCGGUGGAACAUGUGGCUUAAUUCGAUGCAACGCGAAGAACCUUACCUGGGCUUGACAUGGAGACUCUUUUUAGAGGUGGUGGCGAAAGUUAUCUUUACUCACACAGGUGCUGCAUGGCUGUCGUCAGCUCGUGCCGUGAGGUGUUGGGUUAAGUCCCGCAACGAGCGCAACCCUUGUGAUUAGUUGCCACUUUACCAGAGAUGGUAGAAGCACUCUAAUCAGACUGCCUGUGAUAAGCAGGAGGAAGGUGGGGAUGACGUCAAGUCAGUAUGGUCCUUAUGUCCAGGGCUGCACACGUGUUACAAUGGACGGUACAGAAGGAAGCGAGACCGCGAGGUGGAGCUAAUCCCUAAAACCGUCCCCAGUUCGGAUUGCAGUCUGCAACUCGACUGCAUGAAGUUGGAAUCGCUAGUAAAGGCGUAUCAGCUACGACGCCUUGAAUACGUUCCCGGGCCUUGUACACACCGCCCGUCACAUCACGAAAGCCGAUUGCACCCGAAGUCGCUAAUCUAACCCGCAAGGGAGGAAAGUGCCGAAGGUGUGGUUGGUAAUUGGGAUGAAGUCGUAACAAGGUA